CGAGGCGCAGUCUGAGACGCUCAGGCAUCCUGAUGAAGGACUUAGGAGUGAAGAGGAAUCCCUGGGCCUGUGCCACACCCCAUCACCGCACACAUGACGGAGGACCUGAGACAGGUGACCAUACCCAAGGUCACUCUGUUUGAGCCUUCAGAAGCAGAGAUCGCCAAGACCCAGAAGGCUACGCUCGUGUGCCUGGCCACAGGCUUCUACCCUGACCACGUGGAGCUGAGCUGGUGGGUGAACGGGAAGGAGGUCCACAAUGGGGUCAGCACGGACCCUCAGCCCUUCAAGGAGCAGCCUGGCGUCAAUGGCUCCAAAUACUGCCUGAGCAGCCGCCUGCGGGUGUCAGCCGCCUUCUGGCACAACCCCCGCAACUACUUCCACUGCCAAGUCCAGUUCUAUGGGCUCACAGAUGAGGAUGCGUGGAGCUACAAUGAGAUCAAACCCGUGACCCAGAACAUCAGUGCUGGGGUCCGGGGCAAAGCAGACUGUGGCUUCACCUCAGCGUCCUAUCAGCAAGGCGUCCUGUCUGCUACCGUCCUCUAUGAAAUCCUGCUGGGGAAGGCCACCCUCUAUGCUGUGCUGGUCAGCGCCCUUGUGCUAAUGGCCAUGGUCAAGAGAAAGGACUCCUGAAGCUCUCAGCAGAUGAAACCAGCAGCUUCCAACCUGUGCCAGUGGCAGUGCGGAUGCUUCCUAUAUCAAUGCUUCUGGAGAUGUGUUCUCAUCUCUCUACAAAGCCCAGUAUCUUCCCCCUGUGUGUGUGUGUGUGUGUGUGUGUGUGUGUGUGUGUGUGUGCACACUUAGGCCAUCGUGGCAGAAAUCUCCCUGGCCCAGAGCAACCUUAGCAUUCCUGAAUGAAUUAAUGAAUAAAAGCACCCUGGUCAGGGUUGCCUCUGA
Non-coding RNA from Ochotona curzoniae (black-lipped pika), 897 nucleotides. The record is from the annotation of a RefSeq genome assembly. NCBI's taxonomy places the organism in Eukaryota, Metazoa, Chordata, Mammalia, Lagomorpha, Ochotonidae.